This 492-nucleotide ribosomal RNA is filed under the name uncultured bacterium. Its description in RNAcentral is "partial 16S ribosomal RNA". It matches the Rfam family "Bacterial small subunit ribosomal RNA", at positions 29 to 507 of the family's 1533-position model. The record is from RNAcentral.
AGUGAACGCUGGCGGUAGGCCUAACACAUGCGAGUCGAACGGCAGCACAGUAAGAGCUUGCUCUUACGGGUGGCGAGUGGCGGACGGGUGAGGAAUACAUCGGAAUCUACUUUUUCGUGGGGGAUAACGUAGGGAAACUUACGCUAAUACCGCAUACGACCUACGGGUGAAAGCAGGGGAUCUUCGGACCUUGCGCGAUUGAAUGAGCCGAUGUCGGAUUAGCUAGUUGGCGGGGUAAAGGCCCACCAAGGCGACGAUCCGUAGCUGGUCUGAGAGGAUGAUCAGCCACACUGGAACUGGAACACGGUCCAGACUCCUACGGGGCGCCGCAGAGGGGAAUAUUUGACAACAGGCGCAAGCCUGAUCCAGCCAUACCGCGUGGGUGAAGAAGGCCUUCGGGUUGUAAAGCCCUUUUGUUGGGAAAGAAAAGCAGCAGGUUAAUACCCCGCUGUUCUGACGGUACCCAAAGAAUAAGCACCGGCUAACUUCGUG